RNAcentral lists this unclassified non-coding RNA (261 nucleotides) under plant metagenome. RNAcentral's name for it is "partial contains small subunit ribosomal RNA, internal transcribed spacer 1, and 5.8S ribosomal RNA". The record is from RNAcentral.
UCUCCGUUGGUGGACCAGCGGAGGGAUCAUUACCGAGUUUACAACUCCCAAACCCAAUGUGAACGUUACCAAACUGUUGCCUCGGCGGGAUCUCUGCCCCGGGUGCGUCGCAGCCCCGGACCAAGGCGCCCGCCGGAGGACCAACCAAAACUCUUUUUGUAUACCCCCUCGCGGGUUUUUUAUAAUCUGAGCCUUCUCGGCGCCUCUCGUAGGCGUUUCGAAAAUGAAUCAAAACUUUCAACAACGGAUCUCUUGGUUCUG